CUUACGCCGGCGACCGGCGGACGGGUGCGUAACGCGUAUGUAACCUACCUUUGACAGGGGGAUAACAUCGAGAAAUUGGUACUAAUACCCCAUAACAUCACCGGAGGCAUCUUCGGUGGUUGAAAACUCAGGUGGUCAGAGAUGGACAUGCGUUGUAUUAGCUAGUUGGUGAGGUAACGGCUCACCAAGGCGACGAUACAUAGGGGGACUGAGAGGUCAACCCCCCACAUUGGUACUGAGACACGGACCAAACUCCUACGGAAGGCAGCAG
RNAcentral lists this ribosomal RNA (271 nucleotides) under uncultured bacterium. RNAcentral describes it as "partial 16S ribosomal RNA". It matches the Rfam family "Bacterial small subunit ribosomal RNA", at positions 78 to 354 of the family's 1533-position model. The record is from RNAcentral.